Molecule: long non-coding RNA, 641 nt
Filed under: Salmo salar (Atlantic salmon)
Lineage: Eukaryota; Metazoa; Chordata; Actinopteri; Salmoniformes; Salmonidae
Description: lncRNA (ENSSSAG00000110927.1)
Source: RNAcentral
UGUUAAGGUCUGGUAGCUAUGACUGGGUUACUGUUAGGAUCUGGUAGCUGUGACUGGGUUAUUGUUAGGAUCUGGUAGCUGUGACUGGGUUAUUGUUAGGUUCUGGUAGCUGUGACUGGGUAAUGUUAGGGUCUGGUAGCUGUGACUGGGUUAUUGUUAGGGUCUGGUAGCUGUGACUGGGUUAUUGUUAGGUUCUGGUAGCUGUGACUGGGUUAUUGUUAGGGUCUGGUAGCUGGGUUACUGUUAGGGUCUGGUAACUGUGACUGGGUUAUUGUUAGGGUCUGGUAGCUGGGUUAUUGUUAGGGUCUGGUAGCUGUGACUGGGUUACUGUUAGGGUCUGGUAGCUGUGACUGGGUUAUUGUUAGGGUCUGGUAGCUGGGUUACUGUUAGGGUCUGGUAGCUGUGACUGUGUUACUGUUAGGGUCUAGUAGCUGGGUUACUGUUAGGGUCUGGUAGCUGUGACUGGGUUACUGUUAGGGUCUGGUAGCUGUGACUGGGUUACUGUUAGUGUCUGGUAGCUGUGACUGGGUUAUUGUUAGGUUCUGGUAACUGUGACUGGGUUAUUGUUAGGGUCUGGUAGCUGGGUUACUGUUAGGGUCUGAUAGCUGUGACUGGGUUAUUGUUAUGGUCUUGUAACUGUG